This 1483-nucleotide long non-coding RNA is filed under the name Eucalyptus grandis. RNAcentral's name for it is "long non-coding RNA (EGRA_LNC002294)". Lineage: Eukaryota; Viridiplantae; Streptophyta; Magnoliopsida; Myrtales; Myrtaceae. The record is from RNAcentral.
ACGUGCAUUCUCUUAGGUGCAUCUCACCAAAGCGAUGCAUCAAUUCGCCGAGACCACGUGCCCUUUUAGAUGCCAUUCCGGAAUGCUGGACCCACGUGCAUUCUCUAAGGUGCAUCUCACCAAAGCGAUGCAUCAAUUCGCCGAGACCACGUGUCCUUUUAGAUGCCAAAUCCUGUCACCGAGCCACGUGCAUUCUCCAGGACGACAUACCGAGUCUCCGAGCCACGUGCAUUCUCUCAGGCGACCUUUUUGCCAAGGUGACAUAUUCAACCACUGAAUUCACGUGCAUUUUUCCAGGUGACACUCCAAUUCACCGAGCCACAUGUCCUCUUUGCAGUGGUUACCGGUUCACUUUCAAUAUCGACAACCAAUGCCCAACGAUUUCUCAAUCAAAUAAAUAAAUCAACUCAACAAAACAUUAUAAAUGCUGAAUAAACAUACUUGGCCAUUCACCAAUCAAUACUCAAUCAAAUAAUUAAAUUAACUCAACAAAGCAUUAUAAAUGCUGAAUGAACAUACUUGGCCAUUCACCAAUCGAUAAUUCAAUCUCAAUCGAUUCCAAUCAAUUUAGGGUAAAUCCCUAAAAUAUCACAAUUUAUUCAAUUCCAUACAACGUGGAGCUCAAAUAAAUAAACGGACUGCGCCACGAUGAUCAGCACGAGAUUUCGGUCGUCGGCCAUCAAAAUCUUAAUUUCCGAAAAUAAUUAAUUUAUUUAUUAAUUUCGAAAAUUAAAUAAUUAUUAUUACAAAUCCAAUUUAGCUCAAAAUAAAGCCCGAUUAAAUAAACGGACUUCACCACGGUCAUCAGCAUAAUUUUCCGGUUCCAGGCCAUCUCAGUUGAAUUUCCGGAAAAUAAAUAAAUAAUAAUUUAAUUCCGAAAAUUAAUAAUUAAAUACUAAAAAUAUCCACUUAGGCCCGAAAAGCCUAAUUGGAGCCCACUAAGGGUCGGGAAAAUUCCCGAAGCACUUCCAAUAAUUAGUAGACCACGUCUACUUGCUAAUUGCGCAAUCAAAUUAUUUAAAUCGCAUCACAAUUGACUAAUAAUUGCUAAUUUAUUAUAAUCUAACAACCUAAACAUAAUUAAUUAAAUCUAAACCAACCUUAAGCAUAAUUAGCCAACUAAUCCAAGAUUAGUGAGAUUACUCACCAAAUCGCGCACAAAUCGGAUCAAUCUGACGGCGGCGACGCGAGGAACGAUUCUUCCCAAAGCACUGCUCGGGUUCGGGGCCGGGAAACGGCCCAAAACGGGCCCGAACCAGCUGGAAACCCAUUUCGUGGGUUUCUGCCCUUGGCUGGUCGGAGCAGAUCCGGCGGCCAAAACGGCGAGGGAAGGCCGGCGGAAGGCGAGGGGGUCGCGGGGGAGGUCCGGCGGGGCUUGGCGGUGGCCGGAGGUGGCCGGACGGUGGCUAGUCGGUGCGGAACAGCAACUGGGUUGGCUGGAUCGCGCGGAGGGAGGAGCGGCAGCGAGCGACGGACGGCGGGA